GGUGGGAUUACAGGCAUGAACCACUGUGCCCAGUCUGAUUUGGCUUUUGAACACAAUUCUACUGGACCCCUUGAGAGGAGCACUUUUCACAGUGCCAUGCUGAAUGAGAAGUAAUCCUUAAGGGGCUUUCUUUCGACCAUGGACAAGCCACUGCCCUUCUUUUCCUCUUCCUUGCCUUCAAUGAAGUUCUUCCUUUGUACUAGAACCCCAGUGUGAUCAGGGCCUUUUUUCCUACCCACAGCCAGGCUCUCAGGGAGAAUGAUCCUAUUUCCCCCAAGCAUAAGUCCUGGUGAGUUUAGGUCAGCUGUUACUAUAAUGAUCACAUUCUCUCUGGGGAACAGGCUCAUGGUAGUUCUGGGGGAGUCGGGAGAGAGGAGAAGUCUUCAGGCCAAAAAAUAAACACAGCUGGUAGUGACCCAACAAAAUGAUGGCGAGAAUCUGGGUCCUUGAAGUGGCUGUGGAUUUGUUUAAUACAACCAUCCUGCGACCCACUACCUCACCUAUUUUUAAGUCACAUAAUAGGAAAAAAAAAAUCUGUACAUGUUCAGUACAGUCACAACCAUGCAUUUUCUUUCCCAAAUAGUUUUGAUCUUUGGUUGGUUGAAUCUGUGGAUGCAGAACCCAUGAAUAUGGAGGGCUAACUGUAUUUACAGCCAAAAGCAUCUCAAUGGAUUUAUCAUCACAUCAAUCAAUCAAGAGGACUGAUUAAUGUAGUCAAAUCUUUGAGGGAUUUGUGAACACUAGAACCGCUGUUUCAGAUCUGAGAUAGGCGACCUGUGAGUGAAUUAUGGCAUUUUAGGCUUGGAAGAAUGAGAGGUCAUCAAGCCUAGUGUUUACUAAAUCUUUUUAUUUAAAAUUUUUUGUAGAAACAGAGUCUCAUUGUGUUGACCAGGCUGGUAUUGAACUCCUGGGCUCAAGUGAUCCUCCUGCCUCUGCCUCCAAUGGAAAUCUACACUGACCAUUCCAGUUACCUAUUUCUGUGGAACAAAUCACCUCCAAAGAAAAGUGUCUGGUAUACUGUAUGCUAAUCCAACAGGACUGUGGUCUUAUAAGAAGAGGAAGACUCUCUCUCUACCAUGAGAACACAGGAUGAGAAGGCUGCCAUCUGCAAGCCAGAAGGAGAGCCCUCACUGGAAGUCAGCCAUGCUGGCACCCCGAUCUCAGACUUCCAGCCUUCAGAGCUGCUGGGCCGUAAUCCAAGGACCAGUGUCUUCAUAAGAGGGAAAUUUGGACACAGGUGACACAGAAAGGAGAAUGCCACAGGAUGAAGGAGGCAGAGAUGGAAUGAUGCAUCUACAAGCUGGGGCUCCUGGCAACCACGAGAAGCUAGGAGAGAAGCAGGUAACAGAUAUUCCCCCAGUCUCCAGGAGAAACCAACCCUGCCAAUACCUUGACUUCCGACUUCCUGACUACAGACCAUAAGAGAAUACGUUUCUCCUGUUUGAAGCCACCUAGUUUUUGGUCAUCCCCUAUGGCAGCCCUGGGAAACUAAAUACAGCUCAUUUCACACUCUGUUUUAAAAAUAUUUGACAUGGUUGCCAACAACUAAAAUUUGGAAGAUUUCAUAUAAAAAUAGAGAUUUCGCUUAAAAGCCUCCAAAAUUAUGAGCCCUCAUGUUAUUGUGGCCCCUGCCUAGCCCUGCUACUUGCUUUCUCUGCAUGGAGCAGAAUUGCCAUGGUCCCCAUGCCUGCAGGAAGGUGGGGGACAGCUACCUUUUGUUUUCUUUUUAUAUCUUAAAGGUAAACAUAUCCCAACACCAUUUAUUAAGCAAUCCAACAAAUCUGUACAGAUAUGCAUUUUGUCUUCUGCUAUGUGCUCAUGUAGCACUUGAGUCUAUUUUGGGUCUUUCUAUUCUGAUGCUCUAAUCUGUCUAAAGAGUCUCUCAUCACACUGCACAGUUGGACUUAGGACCGUUUAAAAAUAUGAUGUUAAGCCGGGCGCGGUGGCUCAAGCCUGUAAUCCCAGCACUUUGGGAGGCCGAGGCGGGUGGAUCACGAGGUCAAGAGAUCGAGACCAUCCUGGUCAACAUGGUGAAACCCCGUCUCUA
Long non-coding RNA from Sapajus apella (tufted capuchin), 2047 nucleotides. RefSeq lists it as uncharacterized. The transcript has 3 exons. Lineage: Eukaryota; Metazoa; Chordata; Mammalia; Primates; Cebidae. The record is from RefSeq and is a predicted model, not a curated record.